CUCCCUCACGAACCCUAGGCUUGCUGCUCUCUGUUUCUUAUUCCAUUGUCUCCAAUUUCUCAACAAUUCCUCAUAUCCAACAAGCUUCUGGUGUGGUUAUUCUGUUCGGAAGGAGGCAACACCAUAGUCGAAGGUAUUGUUUUCACGAUUUAUAGGGAUUUCUUACAAUGACGUCUCAUGUUCUGAUUCUGGCGGCGAUGUUAUGAUUUCGACGACGUUGUUAUUCUUCACAUCACAAAGUUAGGGUCACGAAAUUAAUUCCUAAUAACAAAUUACGAUCCAUUAUUUCACAAGGUUUCAUCACAAACUUAAAGCCUCAAAUCAGAUAUCUUCCUUCUUCGCCUCUAUCAGGAUUAGCUCGUGAAGCACUUGCUGGAGUGAUUUCACUUGCAUCUUCUGAAAUUGAUCAGAAUAAGGGAAUUUCAAGUUCUACCCAGUUGCUCAAAAGUUC
Long non-coding RNA from Lathyrus oleraceus (garden pea), 451 nucleotides. RefSeq lists it as uncharacterized. The transcript is spliced from 3 exons. The record is from RefSeq and is a predicted model, not a curated record. NCBI's taxonomy places the organism in Eukaryota, Viridiplantae, Streptophyta, Magnoliopsida, Fabales, Fabaceae.